This 207-nucleotide ribosomal RNA is filed under the name uncultured bacterium. Its description in RNAcentral is "partial 16S ribosomal RNA". It matches the Rfam family "Bacterial small subunit ribosomal RNA", at positions 568 to 774 of the family's 1533-position model. The record is from RNAcentral.
AGCGUAGGCGGACAUUUAAGUCAGGGGUGAAAUCCCGGGGCUCAACCUCGGAAUUGCCUUUGGUACUGGGUGUCUUGAGUAUGAGAGAGGUGUGUGGAACUCCGAGUGUAGAGGUGAAAUUCGUAGAUAUUCGGAAGAACACCAGUGGCGAGGGCGACACCCUGGCUCAUUACUGACGCUGAGGCUCGAAAGCGUGGGGAGCAAACA